CGCCUGUUUAACAAAAACAUUUCUUUUUGUAUUUUUUAAAAAGUAUCUUCUGCCCUAUGAUUAUUAUAUUAAAUGGCUGCAGUAUUUUGACUGUGCAAAGGUAGCAUAGUAAUUAGUUUCUUAAUUAGGAGCUUGAAUGAAUGGAUGGAUGAGAAGUAUAUUUUAUUAUUUUUUUGAUUAAAAAUUUAAAUUUAAGUAAAAAUGCUUAAUUGAUUUUUUGGGACGAUAAGACCCUAUAGAACUUUAUAUAUACAUAUUUACUAAGUUUUUAAUAUAAUAACUUUAUUAAUCUUGUCUAUGCUUCGCUGGGGUGGUGAGUAAAUUUUAACUUUAUUUGAUUAUAUCAAUUAUAAUUGUUAAUAGAGAUCUUUUUUAGGAAUUAUAAGAAUAAGUUACCUUAGGGAUAACAGCGUAAUCUUAGUGGAAAGUCCAUAUUUAUACUAAGGUUUGCGACCUCGAUGUUGAAUUAAGAUUAGUUAAAGAGGCAGUUUUCUUUAUAUUAGGUCUGUUCGACCUUUAAAUUCUUACCUUGAUCUGAGUUCAGACCGG
RNAcentral lists this ribosomal RNA (549 nucleotides) under Flexamia abbreviata. Its description in RNAcentral is "partial 16S ribosomal RNA". It matches the Rfam family "Archaeal large subunit ribosomal RNA", at positions 1889 to 2688 of the family's 2987-position model. Lineage: Eukaryota; Metazoa; Arthropoda; Insecta; Hemiptera; Cicadellidae. The record is from RNAcentral.